This 77-nucleotide transfer RNA is filed under the name Candidatus Anstonella stagnisolia. RNAcentral's name for it is "tRNA-Arg(cct)". It matches the Rfam family "tRNA". Rfam says of the family: Transfer RNA (tRNA) molecules are approximately 80 nucleotides in length. Lineage: Archaea; Nanobdellati; Microcaldota; Candidatus Micrarchaeia; Candidatus Anstonellales; Candidatus Anstonellaceae. The record is from RNAcentral.
CGGGCCCGUAGCUCAGCUUGGAUAGAGCGGCACCCUCCUAAGGUGAAGGUCGAGAGUUCAAAUCCCUCCGGGCCCGU